ACCGGCGCACGGGUGAGUAACACGUAUCCAACCUGCCGAUGACUCGGGGAUAGCCUUUCGAAAGAAAGAUUAAUACCCGAUGGCAUAGUUCUUCCGCAUGGUAGAACUAUUAAAGAAUUUCGGUCAUCGAUGGGGAUGCGUUCCAUUAGCUUGUUGGCGGGGUAACGGCCCACCAAGGCAUCGAUGGAUAGGGGUUCUGAGAGGAAGGUCCCCCACAUUGGAACUGAGACACGGUCCAAACUCCUACGGGAGGCAGCAGUGAGGAAUAUUGGUCAAUGGGCGCUAGCCUGAACCAGCCAAGUAGCGUGAAGGAUGACUGCCCUAUGGGUUGUAAACUUCUUUUAUAUGGGAAUAAAGUGCGGUAUGUAUACUGCUUUGCAUGUACCUUAUGAAUAAGGAUCGGCUAACUCCGUGCCAGCAGCCGCGGUAAUACGGAGGAUCCGAGCGUUAUCCGGAUUUAUUGGGUUUAAAGGGAGCGUAGGCGGGUUGUUAAGUCAGUUGUGAAAGUUUGCGGCUCAACCGUAAAAUUGCAGUUGAUACUGGCAUCCUUGAGUACAGUAGAGGUAGGCGGAAUUCGUGGUGUAGCGGUGAAAUGCUUAGAUAUCACGAAGAACUCCGAUUGCGAAGGCAGCCUGCUGGACUGUAACUGACGCUGAUGCUCGAAAGUGUGGGUAUCAAACAGGAUUAGAUACCCUGGUA
This 699-nucleotide ribosomal RNA is filed under the name uncultured bacterium. RNAcentral's name for it is "bacterial SSU rRNA". It matches the Rfam family "Bacterial small subunit ribosomal RNA", at positions 94 to 792 of the family's 1533-position model. The record is from RNAcentral.